This 460-nucleotide ribosomal RNA is filed under the name uncultured bacterium. RNAcentral's name for it is "partial 16S ribosomal RNA". It matches the Rfam family "Bacterial small subunit ribosomal RNA", at positions 338 to 795 of the family's 1533-position model. The record is from RNAcentral.
CCUACGGGCGGCUGCAGUGAGGAAUAUUGGUCAAUGGGCUCGCGCCUGAACCAGCCAAGUCGCGUGAGGGAAGACUGCCCUAUGGGUUGUAAACCUCUUUUGCCGGGGAGCAACGCGCGCCACGUGUGGCGCCACUGAGAGUACCCGAAGAAAAAGCAUCGGCUAACUCCGUGCCAGCAGCCGCGGUAAUACGGAGGAUGCGAGCGUUAUCCGGAUUUAUUGGGUUUAAAGGGUGCGUAGGCGGAAGGCUAAGUCAGCGGUAAAAUUGCGGGGCUCAACCCCUCCCCGCCGUUGAAACUGGCGCUCUUGAGUGGAAGAGAAGUAUGCGGAAUGCGUGGUGUAGCGGUGAAAUGCAUAGAUAUCACGCAGAACCCCGAUUGCGAAGGCAGCAUGCCGGCUUCCGACUGACGCUGAAGCACGAAAGCGUGGGUAUCGAACAGGAUUAGAUACCCUUGUAGUC